RNAcentral lists this ribosomal RNA (389 nucleotides) under Lerista bougainvillii. Its description in RNAcentral is "partial 12S ribosomal RNA". It matches the Rfam family "Bacterial small subunit ribosomal RNA", at positions 801 to 1397 of the family's 1533-position model. Lineage: Eukaryota; Metazoa; Chordata; Lepidosauria; Squamata; Scincidae. The record is from RNAcentral.
UAAACACAGAUAGUGCAAAUACUACACUAUCCGCCAGAGAACUACAAGCGAAAAGCUAGAAACUCCAAGGACUUGGCGGUGCUUCAAAUCAACCUAGAGGAGCCUGUCCUAUAAUCGAUACCCCACGUUCUACCUUACCCCUCCUAGCCAAUCAGCCUAUAUACCGCCGUCGCCAGCCUACCCUAUGAAAGAAACAAAGUGGGCAAAAAAGUUUAUAACUAAAACGUCAGGUCAAGGUGUAGCACACGGAGCGGAAGAGAUGGGCUACAUUUCUUUCAAAGAAAAAAUACGAAUAAUGUACUGAAACACACACUUGAAGGCGGAUUUAGUAGUAAAAUAAACAAGAAUAACCAUUUUAAACCUGCUCUGAAGCGCGCACACACCGCCGU